AUUAAUUUCAAUUUUAUGCUAAGGGACACCGGGCGUUGUUUUGAAUCUGUGAAGGGCAGUGGCAGGGCAUUUUGUGCAGGUGGAGACAUUGUUUCUCUUUAUCACUUGAUAAACCAAGGCAAGUUGGAAGACUGUAAGGAAUUUUUCCGGACAAUAUAUAGUUUCAUAUAUGAACUAGGUACAUAUUUGAAGCCGCAUGUGGCUAUUUUGGAUGGCAUUACCAUGGGUGGUGGUGCUGGAGUUUCAAUCCCUGGUACAUUCCGAGUUGCAACUAAUAAAACUGCUUUUGCCACCCCUGAAACUCUUAUUGGAUUCCACCCUGAUGCUGGUGCAUCCUUCUUUCUCUCUCAUCUGCCUGGUCACCUAGGGGAAUACUUAGCUUUAAGUGGAGAAAAACUCAAUGGCGCAGAAAUGAUUGCUUGUGGCCUAGCUACACACUAUUCAUAUAGUGAACUUGGGAAACUGUUCACAGAUGAUCCUUCUGUCAUUGAAGCAACUUUAGAAAAAUAUGGUGACCUUGUCCAUCCAGAUAAGAUGAGUGUACUUCACAGGAUUGAAACUGUUGAUAAAUGUUUCAG
RNAcentral lists this unclassified non-coding RNA (578 nucleotides) under Hevea brasiliensis (rubber tree). Lineage: Eukaryota; Viridiplantae; Streptophyta; Magnoliopsida; Malpighiales; Euphorbiaceae. The record is from RNAcentral.